GGACUCCGCCGCCGCCGCCAUUAUCAACCUCCACCACCUCGCCACCUCACAACAACCGCUCAUUGACCUUGAAAACCUUAAGUCCGAGCAUUCUCAUCAUCCUCCUCAUCGUCGUCGUCACCAUCGUCGCCUCAUUCUCCCUCUGCCGAAUCCUCCGCUGCAUCAACAACCGCUUCCUCUGCCACAUCACUCCCUCCUCCGGCGGAUUCGUGUGAGUUUCGUUCUGUCCGAGUGCAAUUUCGA
RNAcentral lists this long non-coding RNA (243 nucleotides) under Rosa chinensis. RNAcentral describes it as "sRNA RchiOBHm_Chr6g0310281". The record is from RNAcentral. Lineage: Eukaryota; Viridiplantae; Streptophyta; Magnoliopsida; Rosales; Rosaceae.